UUACCAGGCACUUACAGAGAAGGUUGACGAGGAUGACAGGGAACUAAUUGGGGGAGGGAUGCCAUGGUUGAAAACAUGGCUGGGGCAGCGAGAAGUUAAGAUGAAGUCCCAAGAGUCGCAAGAACAUGCAGUUCCAGGACGUGAUUCUCUGCAGGGACAAAGAGAGACAGCAGCUACAAGUCUAUAGGCAGUGACAAAGGAUCUGAGAUCCCAUCAGAGUAGACUUCAAGUUGGAGAAAACUUUUAUUGGCACAGGCAUUCCUUGUUAACUUGACAGGGUGAAGCUGUAAUUUUUCAAAAACAGUAAAAGCUGGUUUCUCCUAAACUAUUUUCCUUGUGGUAGUAGAGAUCAGUGGGUCAGAAACAACUCCUGACCACUUGGUUUCCUUUUGAGCCGCGUCAUAAGGAGGCAAUCUGUAAAACUAGCACAGGUCUCCCGCUGUUCCACUGGCUCACCCACAUGAUUAG
This 468-nucleotide long non-coding RNA is filed under the name Homo sapiens (human). RNAcentral describes it as "non-protein coding lnc-FDFT1-1:1". The record is from RNAcentral. Lineage: Eukaryota; Metazoa; Chordata; Mammalia; Primates; Hominidae.